RNAcentral lists this long non-coding RNA (2262 nucleotides) under Podarcis muralis (Common wall lizard). Its description in RNAcentral is "lncRNA (ENSPMRG00000015773.1)". The record is from RNAcentral. Lineage: Eukaryota; Metazoa; Chordata; Lepidosauria; Squamata; Lacertidae.
AUGGUACUUACUAGAAAGAAACGUAGGGACUUGGGGAUAGUGACAAGUCCAUUGUUCCAGGAGUGUUAUGAGAAACAGAGUAAAAUCACGCAAUACUUUUUACAUACAAGGGACAACGAGAAUGGAAAUGGAAAUGGAAAUGGAAAUGAGCAAAAGAUGGCUGAGAUGGUUGAGUUGAAGCAGGAUGAGGCUCUUCUUUUUCCCUCUGCUGCUCAAGAUCACUCAACCUUCUCUAGAGGAAUACAGGACACGGAGAAUAACAACCAAAAUAGAAAUACAAUGAGCCUGGCCCAUGAAAUAGUCUUGGCUGAGAUAUUAUCUUCAGAGUUACAGGAAGAAACCCGAAACUCCCAGAAACCCCAGACUUCAUCUAUGGGCUCCCAGACGGAAAACAAUGACUGCUAUCCUCAGGACUGGCUGCUCUCUAUAAAUCUGGAUCUGGCAGCUAUGAAAAAAUACUUAACAAUAACAAAUGGGCUGCUCCUGACAUUAGUGGAAAAUUAUCCCCUCCAAGCUAAAGGCUCAGAACUUCAUGGUGUUGAUCCACAAACCACCCCUCAAGAGCCAGAAUAUACAAAGCAACCAGCAACCAGCAAGUGCACACAAGGAUCAGCAGCGGAAAAUCAUUUACACCAAGGAAAGGACAUAGGGCUGUAUGUAUCUGUCCCUAAAACUGAAUUUCCUAUCGAAGUAAAUCAAAAGAAGCGAGGCAUUAGUAAGAGAUCCCAUAAGAAGAAAGCUGAAACUAAAAAGAAAAGUAAGAACAUAAAAACUGCAAGGAAAUCUGUUACAAACCGACGUGCAUGCAAAGUAUGCUGGAAAAGACUAUAUAAGCUGAUUCCAACAAAAUCAAAAACAAACUCUAACAAACCUGCUAUACAUGGCAGCAGAGAGAACAACAGUGUGGAUCCAGGAAAAAAGAUCCAGCUGAAGUCUUUGAAAGAAACAUCAUUGCUGCCUAACAAAACAAGUGAGGAAACGGAAUCACUACCCGGGUGCUCUAUGCUGAAACCUCAAGGAUCCAUAAAUAUUAAAGAAGACUCACCCCAUACUAUUGAUUAUGGCAGAUUUCAAGAUGAGCCAGUAGCAGGGCAAGACUUGCCCCAGGAUAAAGGAUGGAAACUGAUGUUGGCAGAUAGGAAGUUAGCUUUUCUUAACUACCCGAAGCCAAAGGGCUUCCUUACACAGGAAGAACGCUCGGUGCAUUUUGUGAAUAUUUUAGAUGAUAUGCUGCCAGGGAAAAUAAAAUUAAAUGACAUUACCUCAGUAGAUUUCAUAUUCUACAAUGGAUACUCUCUGCGAGUGAUUGCCUCCUUCAAAGAUCAAAACUUGGCUAAAUAUAUAUAUAGAUCAAGACAUCUGCUGUCAAAGAAAAGGAUAACGGUAACAAGAUUUUUCGAAAACAGCACAUGUUUGAAAUUGUUUCCUGAUGAGUUUACGACAGCUGAGAUAAGAUUUAUUUGUAAACCAAAGGAGGAGAGAGGAUACUCAAAAGACAAACUGGAACAUACUGAGCAAGGGUCCUUGAAACUAAGACAGGAGAUGAGAUUGCCUAAUGAGGGGAUGGAUAACUUCUAUCCAGAAGAAAAGGCAUUAAUAAAUCAGUUUGGAUUGUUGCCUUUCUUUGCCCAAUCUGAGAUCUUGAGAAGAUUGGAGACCCUUAGAAAUAAGUUAACAGAGAUGAAUGCUCAGGAAAAAGUAAGAGAGAAAGAACCGGCAACGGACCAAUUAAAGAAAGAGAACCUCUCUGAAAAAGCCAAGACAGACCCCAUGAAAGAUUACUCUUAUAAUACCUCUACAAUUGCGGAGAUAAACCUGUUAACAACAGAUCUAACACAGUGCGCAAGGGAUAAACUACCAUCUAAGAAGGAAACCAUCCUUAUGGCAACCACGAAAGACUACCCUUAUAAUACCUCUGCAGCUGCAGAGAUAAACCUGGCAGCAACAGAUCUAACACAGUGCGUAAGGGACAGCAACAAUCUACCAUCUAAGAAGGAAACCAUCCCUAUGACAACCACAACGCGCUCUUGGACCAGCAUGAGAUACCUGGAUGAGGAUGAACUUGGUAUCAGUCAAAUAGAACACCUCAAGGUAGAUUCGCCAAAAAAAGGAGUACUGAUCACUAAUGUUAGCACGCUGCACCCUUCAACUGAUUCCAUUGAGUACCUGGGCGAUAAUACAUCUAUGGACAUUGCCAAAAUGAAUGAAAUCCAACCAACAGAUAAAAAGAUAGGCCCAAAAAAUCUUUCAAAGGCAAAUUGA